Molecule: non-coding RNA, 69 nt
Organism: Rattus norvegicus (Norway rat)
Lineage: Eukaryota; Metazoa; Chordata; Mammalia; Rodentia; Muridae
Source: Rfam
GGGGAUUUAGCUCAGUGGUAGAGCGCUUGCCUAGCAAGCACAAGGCCCUGGGUUCGAUCCCCAGCCCCG